Long non-coding RNA from Oncorhynchus tshawytscha (Chinook salmon), 1021 nucleotides. NCBI's taxonomy places the organism in Eukaryota, Metazoa, Chordata, Actinopteri, Salmoniformes, Salmonidae. The record is from Ensembl.
GUGUGUUUGAGCUUUCAUCAACUGUAUAUGAACAUAUGUAGAAGUAAUAUUACAAACACAAUGGCAUACAGUGCUUCUGUAAAGGGAAAAAUACUAUUAGAGUUAAUGUAUUUAUCUAUUAGAUUUCUGAGUUACUUAAUUACUUAGGCCCAUCGCCCCAUGAGAAGCAUAGGCCAUCAACUGGCCAUCAACUGAGUUGACUUCAUGUAUCUGAAAUUAUCUAGAAUUUAAUCCCAAUGAAAUGAUACAAUCAUUUACUAUUCUCCUAAACUAUAAUGUUAAUGUGUAGGACAUAUGAUUGUGUUAGCAGACAUACAGUAGUAGCUAUGCAAUAUACUGGACCGUAUGGGAUGCCCCAUAUGUAUCAUCAUAACUUCUUCUAAUGGGGAUUGGUUGAUGACACUACACCAUCAACCAUCAUGACAAAUUGGCUGAUGACACUACACCAUCAACAUAGGCUGAUGACACUACACCAUCAACAUAGGCUGAUGACACUACACCAUCAACAUAGGCUGAUGACACUACACCAUCAACAUAGGCUGAUGACACUACACCAUCAACAUAGGCUGAUGACACUACACCAUCAACAUAGGCUGAUGACACUACAGCAUCAACAUAGGCUGAUGACACUAGCUCAAAUGUUAUGCCUUUUUUUUGUUCACUUGUUCUCAUCAAUUUUGUUUCUGCAACCUUAUUUAACUUUUCUGUAUCACUUUGUUUACCAAAAUGAGCACUUGUUUUGGAAGUGACCCUAAAUGAAGGAUGCUUUCCUUGGGAGGGCAUGGGUUGACUAUAUUUUAUAUGCAACUUUUGUAAAAGUCUACAUUUUAUACCUGAUUUGUAAUUAUGUAAAUGAAGGCUCCAGAUGAUCAAAUCAGAUAAUGUAUGCUUCUGAUUGGAGAGCAACGUCAGGAUAAAGCACAAGUGGACUUUAAUUGUGAACUUAACAUAUAUAUUGUAUCUGCUUAUUACCAUACUGGAAUUUAUUUCAAUUGCAAAUUAAACACAGCUUUUCUCACAA